AAAAGAAAUCAUGGUUUAAAAUCCCACAUAAAAUGUUUCCCAGCUGCUGAGAAUUUAAGGAUAGUUAAUGCUUCCAGAUGCACCCAAGAAAAAUCUCAUUUACCUGAUUUUGAACCUGUCACACCAAUGAAGUUAAUGAGAUAUAAGCUCUUAAGUCGUUUAGUCACUUCUGAAUAUUUUACUUAAUGAUCAAUUCCAGAUUUUCCAAAGUAUUUAUUUUCACGUAUUUCAAAAAAGUGUUAUGAUGCAAAAUUUUAUUUUGCUUCAACAUUCCUUUGGUCUACUUGACAUCACUCUAUAGCAAUACAAAUUUAAUGGGAAAUCUCCUGUAUCUCCCUGAAAAGGAAAAUUAGUUUUUUGUUGCUUUCAUACUGAUAGGAAACGCAACAGAGGUUUGUCAUGUGCUGAGGAAUUAGGGCAGGUGGAGAACUGAGCAGAGGGAAGGGUUUGGAAAGUGGGAAGGGAGGGAGGGGAGGUGGCACCAGGUGUGAUCUGACCUUCACUGACAGCAGCAACCCAGAGGGAAAAGUGGGAAUAGGUGAAGGGAAAAGGGGUGCUGGAGCAGGCAGCAGGGAAGGGAAAUACAAAUGCACUCCUUCAGUGAGCUCUGCAGUCUCAUGAUGAGCCAGGCUGCUUGAGGGAUGAUGCAGAGCAAGGCUUGAGAGAGGAUACAAGUUCAGAUCCAAAGCAUGAUUGCAGGAUGGCAGUUCAGGGACUAGCAGGAAACAAUCCCUCCAUGUGACAGCAAGGAAAGGAAGCUGGGCUGGGCUGGUGGGGGCUGUUCCUGCAGGGAAAAGCCCCUGUGAGGGAACAGCUCUGUGUGACAGCAUUGGCAGCUCCAGCUCAGGCUCUCUGGCUUUUCCUGAACAGAGAAAUCCCCUGGCAGCACAUCCACCUGCCCUCAGGGGUGGGGUGGGUUCCAGGAGGGUGCAGCAGCAAUUCCUGGCACCCACUGUGCUGGGAACAGGAUCACAGAGCAGCACAGAGCCACUCCUGGUGCCUUGUGAGCUGUCCCUGCUCCAGUCCCACACUGCUGUGUGCUUUUCCUCUUGUGCACAUCCUAUGUUGAUGCUUUGUAGGGUGGUGGGAUGACACAGGUGUGCACAUCCUCUGUGGUGCUUUGUAGGAUACUGAGAGGGCCACAGGUGUGCCCAAGGAACUCCUCCUGUCCCCACUGCAGGGCACAGCUGUGGUAGGGAUUUGCCAGAAUAGCCCUCCACUUGUUCAUCCCAAUAAUUUCAGUAUUUUCACUGCAGUGGUUUGUCCUCAGACUUUAUUUUCAAGGUUGCUAGCACAAAGCAAAAGGACUUGCCUGAUUGACUUCCAAUGCUUCUUUAUCACUGAUGUCCCAGAUUGUCAGGGACAAUGGGGCAAGUUUCUGCCCUUCUCUCUGGAUUUCAGAUUCCCUGACCUAUUUCCAGUUUCACCCCUUUAUGGAAGCAGUGCCCCAAUCUGCUGCUCUUUUCACAGCCACCUUUGAGUGACUCAGGGCCUAGUCCUGGGCAGGUUGUGUGAAAGUACUGCUGAGUUUGUGCUCUCCAUUCCAAGAACUUGUCCUGGGUCAUUCUUGGGUUGGGGGUGAAAAUACCCUCUCAAUCCAAUAAAAAAUUAUUUAGGUGAGCUGAAAAGUGGGUUUAGAGAAAAUGCUGCAUCCCACACUUGAAUGGGUUAUUUACUCUUCAGGGGACUCAAAUAUUUUACUACUGGGCAACCAAGGGGAAGUAAGAGUGCAGAAGUUUAGUUGGGUAUGAAAUGUCUGCUCUUACACAGCCUCUCUGAACUGCUAACCAAGUGAAAGCUAACAGUGGCCACUCUCAAUCCCUGAUUCUGAGCAAACAGGGGUGGUUUUUGUCUUCAGUGAAAACUAGAUGAAAAUACAUUUUGAAGGCAAUUAGAGUAUUUUUAUUUUUGCUCACAGUAAACUGCAAGCACAAUAAAAUUGCUAGCACAAGGUUGAAGGUUAUUUACUACGAUUAUAUGCCACAUGUGAUUAAUCUCUUCCCCACUUUUUAUUCUCUUAUCAGCACGAUUUUAAAUAUCCAGAAUUCUGCAGGGUCAGAUUAAAAGGCUGGAAAUACUUAGCCCAGGUGGCUGUGUGUGCAGAAUUCACUGCCUUAACAAGGUGCUUCUUGCUGCUCUGGGGUGACCUGCACCUCCCUCCAGGACUCCCAGCACAGCAGCUUCCCUGCAAUCCUGCACAUCAGCACAUCCCCAAAAAGUGUGGCUGUUAUCAGCCACUGUCCCCUGCAGCCCCCCCACAGCACUGCUCUAAAAAGAUGACAAAUGACAGAAAAGAGAGGAACCACAGAGCCUGUUAUUCCCCAGUGCAAAGGAGCAUGUUAAACAUGGCUUUUGUUCCCAGCACCCCUGGCUGCUGUUGGGCUGCUGAGCUCACUGAGAAGCUGCCUUUGUCCUCCUCCAUGGCCUUGUGUCCCUGUCACCUUGGUUUUCAGCAGUGCCUGUGCUGCUGCAGCUGCCCAGGUUUGCAAAGGCAGCCAGGUGAAAACAGAUCCAGCCUCACACACAGAGCAGCUGGUGUGCUCUGAGUCCACAGAGUGGGCAACACAAGCUGGCUCAGAGGGCAAACAGAGCCCAAAUUGUUUGGGAUCAAGGAUGGGAGGUGGGCACAGAGGGAGGAAGAGUAGGAUGGUUCUGGAGGGCAGCCCCAGGUCAGCUUUUGGUCACUAAGGAACCAACCCCUUGGAGCCAAAGUGCUUGGUCUUCAGUUUGGUGGGAGGUUCAGGUAGAGCUGUGAAAAGUGCUGCAGGAAACUGAGAAAGGAGCCUUGCUUUGCACCUUCUGCCACCUGUUCAAUUAAUUAUUUUCCAAAGACAAUUUUAUGAUGUCAUGCAAGCUGGAAGCCAACAUUCUGCAGCCAACCUUGUCCUCAGUGUCCUUUUCUCUGGCUGAAGCAGAGUGAAUCUUUGCUGCAGAAGAGAUCUUGGUUUAAUUCAUUGUGCCUGCAGCUUUAAGGUUAGAAUACAUUAUAGACAAGAUGAUAAUUAUUGCUCUGAAGCUCUUCUGGAGAAGGCAGCGUGAGGAAAUGUCCCAUUAACAUUAAAAACAAAUCCAGGAGAAGGUGAUGAAGAAAUGCUUCCACUCUGUUACUUCUCCAUGAUCAAACAACACUUGCCUCACCCCAAAAUCUAAUGGUCUCAUGAUUAAAAAUGUAUGAGAGCUCCUGAACAUAGGAAAGAUUGUGUGUAGCAGCACAAAUUCUUGACUGAAAUGUGUAAUUAAUGCUUUCACUCAGCCUCAUGUGCAGACACAAGACCAAGGGGGCAGGCUGGCCAAGGCAUGGACUCAGGUUUUUGAAACAAUGCUGGGAACUUUUCACUUUUACACAAGGAAAAACAAGUUUGAAGCUUAUCCUUAAAUUUUCAGGGGUCUUGGAUAUAUUUGAGAAGCCAGUGAGUUAAAAACUUCACACAGCCCCAGGCACGUCUGUUAUUUGAACAAUUAACUUUACUUACAGAGAACUUAUUGGGUGUGUGAAAAUGUGUAAAAAUUGCACACUGAAAGUGGUGGUGAAGUGUAGGAGAUGCUGUGCUUGCUGCUGAGGGCUGCAGGGAUCCAGAAAAGAGCAGGGACAACGCUUCUGCAGGGUCAGGUGUAAAUGAUGCCUUUAUGUUGUACCCAGUGCACACAACCACUGCUGCUCUCUUACCACAGGAAUUCAGGAAAAUACUCAGAAUCCAGACUAAUUUCAAGCCUGUAAAAAAUACAGUUCAGUAUUGGAGCAAGUGCAACUGUCUUGGUAGUUUUAAUCUUAAUUUCUGCUUUUGGAGGAACAUUAUUCCAAAUAAUUGUUUUUUCAAGUAUAUUCCAAGAUUUAACUGGUUUAUUUCAGUUUGGUAGCACUGAGGUUUUUUUGUCCUAACUGAUGGUAAUGACAGCUAAAUGUCAGCUUCAUUUUUACCUUAGCUCAGAAUAUAAACAGAAAAGUAUACAAAAAGGAAAAUGUCCUGUUACACACUCUGUGAAUUCUUCUUGCUGUGUACCCUAAGCCAAACAGUUUUGAUUCUGCAUGUGACUCUCAGUCCAAAAGCCAUGCUGAGACAUUUUUCUCAAUAAAUUAUUUUCCAUGUUUUGCCUCUGCUAUUAACACAAAUGCAUAAAAAACCUGAACCUGGAACUUGCAUUUCAUCAAGAAAAAACCCCCACAAUAUUUUUAUAUAACAUUUUGGAUAUAUUUUAUGUCAAAACAUGAUCACCAGUCAAACCAGUGACAUCUAACCCCAAUACAUUAUUGUGACUUCUAAAAUAAAAAAUCAGAACAAAACUAAAUUUAUUAUAGCUCUGCCUUCAUUAAACACCGGGUGUUGGUGAUUUAAACACAACAAAACUCUAGUAACUCUUCAAAAGUGUCUACUAAAUAGAAUAAAAAGAAUAA
Long non-coding RNA from Catharus ustulatus (Swainson's thrush), 4393 nucleotides. RefSeq lists it as uncharacterized. The transcript is spliced from 2 exons. Lineage: Eukaryota; Metazoa; Chordata; Aves; Passeriformes; Turdidae. The record is from RefSeq and is a predicted model, not a curated record.